CAGGAAAGCAGUGGUUCCAAGGAACAGCAGAUGCUGUGAGGCAAUUUAUUUGGGUUUUUGAGGAUGCCAAGAACAGGAAUGUUGAGAAUAUACUGAUCUUGUCUGGAGAUCAACUUUACCGAAUGGAUUAUAUGGACUUUGUGCAGCAUCAUGUUGACAGCAAUGCUGAUAUCACAAUUUCAUGUGCUGCAGUCAGUGAGAGCCGUGCAUCUGAUUAUGGUUUGGUGAAGAUAGACAACAGGGGACGAAUUGUCCAUUUUGCUGAAAAAC
Molecule: unclassified non-coding RNA, 270 nt
Filed under: Hevea brasiliensis (rubber tree)
Lineage: Eukaryota; Viridiplantae; Streptophyta; Magnoliopsida; Malpighiales; Euphorbiaceae
Source: RNAcentral